AGAUUGUUGGUUAAGAAGAAAGCCGGGAAAGUGAAGGAGAGGGGGAAGAAAGGAAGUGAAAAGACUUUGGCUGUUGGAAUCUCAGAUCUGGAAUAGGCUGUAUAGGCUAUUUAUAAUCUCUAAUUGCCGAGGAACCUGAAGUUCAGAGUUAACCAGUGACUGACUCAGGACAUGCAAAAUGGCAAGACCCGAGGUAGAAGAGCUCACCUUUCCUGACUCUCAGUUUCCUGUUCCCUGAAAAUGUAAGCUAAGCUGGCAGCCCUGGUGAGUCCGGAGGAAGAAGGAGGCGUAGCCCUCCGCGCUCAGGAGAUCCAGGGCCCAGGAGAGAGAAAAAGUGGGACAAGAACGAAGGGAAAAGUGGAGAAGAGAAACCAAAAUAGGGUGUGUCCCAAGUAAAUAACUGUACGUCGAGCCCGCCAAGCACAUUCUCUCAUAGGGACCCUUGCGCCUGCUGUUCGCGUUUCCUGGAAUGCACACUCAGGUGUCUGCACCAGCUCAAGUCUCUGCUCAAAAGUGACCUCUUCGGAUAAAACUUCUCUGACCAUCCUAUCCAAGAUUCCUUAUAUUACAUGGC
RNAcentral lists this small RNA (574 nucleotides) under Pan troglodytes (chimpanzee). RNAcentral describes it as "processed transcript". Lineage: Eukaryota; Metazoa; Chordata; Mammalia; Primates; Hominidae. The record is from RNAcentral.